RNAcentral lists this ribosomal RNA (436 nucleotides) under Yersinia enterocolitica. RNAcentral describes it as "bacterial SSU rRNA". It matches the Rfam family "Bacterial small subunit ribosomal RNA", at positions 1 to 433 of the family's 1533-position model. The record is from RNAcentral. Lineage: Bacteria; Pseudomonadati; Pseudomonadota; Gammaproteobacteria; Enterobacterales; Yersiniaceae.
AAAUUGAAGAGUUUGAUCAUGGCUCAGAUUGAACGCUGGCGGCAGGCCUAACACAUGCAAGUCGAGCGGCAGCGGGAAGUAGUUUACUACUUUGCCGGCGAGCGGCGGACGGGUGAGUAAUGUCUGGGAAACUGCCUGAUGGAGGGGGAUAACUACUGGAAACGGUAGCUAAUACCGCAUAACGUCUUCGGACCAAAGUGGGGGACCUUCGGGCCUCACGCCAUCGGAUGUGCCCAGAUGGGAUUAGCUAGUAGGUGGGGUAAUGGCUCACCUAGGCGACGAUCCCUAGCUGGUCUGAGAGGAUGACCAGCCACACUGGAACUGAGACACGGUCCAGACUCCUACGGGAGGCAGCAGUGGGGAAUAUUGCACAAUGGGCGCAAGCCUGAUGCAGCCAUGCCGCGUGUGUGAAGAAGGCCUUCGGGUUGUAAAGCAC